UAGAAAUUUAAGUGCCCUUCUAAAAAUC
This 28-nucleotide non-coding RNA is filed under the name Mus musculus (house mouse). The record is from RNAcentral. Lineage: Eukaryota; Metazoa; Chordata; Mammalia; Rodentia; Muridae.